CGAUACGGGACUCAUCCGAGGCCCCGUAAUCGGAAUGAGAACACUUUAAAUCCUUUAGCGAGGAUCCAUUGGAGGGCAAGUCUGGUGCCAGCAGCCGCGGUAAUUCCAGCUCCAAUAGCGUAUAUUAAAGUUGUUGCGGUUAAAAAGCUCGUAGUUGAAUCUGUGUGCCACGCUGUCGGUUCAUCGCUCGCGAUGUUAACUGACAUGAUUGUGGGACGUCCUACCGGUGGACUUAGCCUUUCGGGGCGGUCCAGCUAAUAUCCCAUCGCGGUGCUCUUCAUCGAGUGUCGAGGUGGGCCGGUACGUUUACUUUGAACAAAUUAGAGUGCUCAAAGCAGGCUAGGCUCGCCUGAAUACUGUGUGCAUGGAAUAAUGGAAUAGGACCUCGGUUCUAUUUUGUUGGUUUUCGGAACCCCGAGGUAAUGAUUAAUAGGGACAGAUGGGGGCAUUCGUAUUGCGACGUUAGAGGUGAAAUUCUUGGAUCGUCGCAAGACGGACAGAAGCGAAAGCAUUUGCCAAAAAUGUUUUCAUUAAUCAAGAACGAAAGUUAGAGGUUCGAAGGCGAUCAGAUACCGCCCUAGUUCUAACCAUAAACGAUGCCAGCUAGCGAUCCGCCGAUGUUCCUCCGAUGACUCGGCGGGCAGCUUCCGGGAAACCAAAGCUUUUGGGUUCCGGGGGAAGUAUGGUUGCAAAGCUGAAACUUAAAGGAAUUGACGGAAGGGCACCACCAGGAGUG
RNAcentral lists this ribosomal RNA (736 nucleotides) under Sycobia sp. 4 AYW-2019. RNAcentral describes it as "SSU rRNA". It matches the Rfam family "Eukaryotic small subunit ribosomal RNA", at positions 477 to 1178 of the family's 1831-position model. Lineage: Eukaryota; Metazoa; Arthropoda; Insecta; Hymenoptera; Epichrysomallidae. The record is from RNAcentral.